UCGUACUCUUUGUAUUAGGAGGAGUGGCAGUUUUGGUGAUCAUCGUAGCAAUAAUAGCCUACGGGUUGCUCAAGAAGAAGUAUUAUGUAGCAUUCUUCUCAAAAGCACUAGUGGUUCAGCAGAGACUACUUCAAAAGGUAACGACUAUAGAAUGGUAAGUCCAGGAUAUGAGUAUGAAAGAGCAAAUGGCCAGGACCAUGAGAUGGUAACACGCAGACACCUGGGACUACAAUCAACGACUCCAGUUUGACAAAGGGAUUGUUAAGUUUCUAAAGAGUGCUGUAAAUCAGAUGAUUUACGUACAUUAGUCCGGAUUUACGUGGACAAAAACGAUCCGUUUGCUCGGCAUUAUUCUCGAAAGA
Molecule: long non-coding RNA, 362 nt
Organism: Stylophora pistillata
Lineage: Eukaryota; Metazoa; Cnidaria; Anthozoa; Scleractinia; Pocilloporidae
Source: RefSeq, a predicted model, not a curated record